UCAGCAUAACUCAUUUUUUAA
RNAcentral lists this non-coding RNA (21 nucleotides) under Caenorhabditis elegans. Lineage: Eukaryota; Metazoa; Nematoda; Chromadorea; Rhabditida; Rhabditidae. The record is from RNAcentral.